CAGUGGUGUGUGUUAUUAAGAAAUGAGAAGAUCGGACUGACGGCCACUGUGCGCACUUGUAAAUAAGUCCUCCCGGUUGCUGCAGAAACUGACGAGUAUUGAACACUGCAGACUGGCUUCGGGAGAGAGAGGACACACUGGCUGAACAUCUUAAUCGGGCAACUUCCAAUUUUCACAUCCCUGAGUUCAAUCCCAAGGAAUACCCACGUGUAUUGCUCUCUUUUCACCGGGGAAAAGAUCGGCCAUGCCCCGCCUGUCCGUGUGCCUGGCUGUUUUAGUCUACACAUGUGUGUCCAUGAAGCUCAUAUCAGCGGAGGAACCCAACAGCAAGUCAAAUACAGAAGAGAAAUAUUUCUCACCUGGAGAACCAACAUGGCCGACAGGGAACGGAGUAUAUGAAGAUGAAAUACAAGCAUUGGGUGGUGAUGGCGAGGGACAUGUGAAACGCGUUGGCGACAGAGAGAACCGAUCUUCUGGAACUUCUCUGUGGACAAAGAUUCUCAACCGAUUAGGAAAAACACAGGAAACGUUCGGCACUUCCGGUCAGUACCCGAACCUGCCUGGCAAGACGGGGUAUGAAAGGAGGUAUCUGGCUCCUCAAAGUGGCCUUGGCAAAACUCAAACGGAAUCUUUCAGGUAUGCCUUCGUUUGAAAAAGAGCGCGCAAUGAAUGACGGAAAAUUUAAAACGCAGAAGAAACGAGGCCUGUCAAUAAAUGGCGCACUAUCUUCUUUGGCGGAUAUGCUUUCGGCGGAGGGUCAACGUCGAGAUCACGCCGCGGCGCUUCGGCUUCGACAGCGCCUCCUAGUGGCAGGAAAACGUUGAAAAAAGGACGCAAAUUAUGGAUUCAAAAUUAUUCGGUCUUAAAAGACAUCUAGUGACAAUCUAACACUUUCAAACGAUAUAUCGUGGUCCACUUUUCAACGAUAUAUCGUGGUCAAGGGCAACUGAGUGAAAACAAUUAUAAGUUGGAACAUGACUUUCAAAACGUUUUUGAAAUGAUGUCAGUGAACUUUGGUUCAGUUGCACGGUAUAAGUCAACACAAUUAUAAGCAUGGGUGUUUCUGAAUUCAGUGUUUGAGUUUUAUUGUGAUAAUCAGGGAUUGGUCGACAAAUUUUCACGGUGGGAUCUAACAACGGACAUGAACACUUUUGUUUGUGUUAAAAACAAAGACGAUUCUGUUGCUAAUUUCAGCCUCUCAAACAGCACGGAUAAUGAUUGGUCUACUUUUUGUCACUAACAAAAUACAUUAUAUUAAUUGAUAUCCUCGUGUAAUGUUGUCCUGUUAUCAACUCUGUUAAGAACAGUAAUUCUAUUUUCAGAAAUAUAGACACACGUUAAGUUCUCGUCUUGCAAAUGAGCUUUUCCACUAAGCAAAAUGCCCUUCGCUUGUGUUGCUAGUAAACAGACAGUUGAAGUCAAACAGAUAAAAAUACGAAACAUACAAAUUACCAUUAUGACGAGUUAUUGGUUCAUCUCAACAGAUGUAAUCUGGCAAAGCAGUUACUAUUAUACUUGCAGGUCAACAUUGUCAGACCUUUACUAGUGUUAUUGUUGAACAAGACGACGACGGGCAAUUUCCACACUUUUCAACACAUAACCCAAUGUGCUGCUUGACUGUAGAGCAAAAUAACUCAUUGGGUUAUGUUUGCAAUCGUCCCUCUGAGACUCAUACCGUUUACAAACAAGUUCUACGUGAAAUCCCCUGACCCCAAUUCCGUUUCCGUAAACGUUUAUUCCGUAACAAUUAUGAAUACAACCAAUUAAACUGCUGUGGGACGCUGAAUGUCUUCACAACAAACGGUGAUUUUACGUUAAUGGGGUGUUCUUAAUAUCCGCCGGGAUUGCAAAUCGCCCUAUUCCUUAUGCAGGCCAAAUUUAUACCAAUCAUAAAGUUAGCGAUAUAGCAAGUUGCUCCGACUUUUUGGCUGCAUUAUGUUAACACACGAAACUCUCUCGUACCGCAUUGUUCUAUUUAUUUAAGACAGGAAUCAACGAGUCGACAUAACGCUAUGAUAUCACACUUAUUUUUAUUACACAGUUUGAAUGACAGCUUGUUAUAAUCAGAAAUAUAUUUUUUCUGAUGAAGGAAGCUGUAGCCAGUAACGGCAGAACAAAGGGUUUAUCGUCCACUAUAAAAAAAAAAACAAAAAACAAUCGAUGCUAGAGGUUAAAUUUGUCCGAUUUUCGAGACAUUAAUUCUCGCUCUCUAUUAGAUAAAAAAGGGAUAAAUUUCAAUCAUUUCCCGGGGAACCGUGAGGGGUACGAUAAUGAUUCACACUCUAUAAAUGGAUGUGAAUCAGCUACCCACAGUUUAGUUCAACAACGUGAGGAGGGUCUCAGACCAGCUCUGGUAGAUUGCUCAAUAUAUGUAUAAAGCUGUUCAUAAACAGAUUCUAUGUGUAGUGUAAACAAGAAUAACGAAUAUUGUAUUCUCCAGAAUAUAUUUUGUUGUGGAAUAAAGUGAUUGUUGCCAA
Haliotis rubra (blacklip abalone) is the source of this 2477-nucleotide long non-coding RNA. RefSeq lists it as uncharacterized. The transcript has 2 exons. The record is from RefSeq and is a predicted model, not a curated record. NCBI's taxonomy places the organism in Eukaryota, Metazoa, Mollusca, Gastropoda, Lepetellida, Haliotidae.